Molecule: ribosomal RNA, 869 nt
Filed under: Cordyceps tenuipes
Lineage: Eukaryota; Fungi; Ascomycota; Sordariomycetes; Hypocreales; Cordycipitaceae
Description: partial large subunit ribosomal RNA
Rfam family: Eukaryotic large subunit ribosomal RNA
Source: RNAcentral
AGCAUAUCAAUAAGCGGAGGAAAAGAAACCAACAGGGAUUGCCCCAGUAACGGCGAGUGAAGCGGCAACAGCUCAAAUUUGAAAUCUGGCCCCCGGGUCCGAGUUGUAAUUUGCAGAGGAUGCUUCGGGCGAGGUGCCUUCCGAGUUCCCUGGAACGGGACGCCACAGAGGGUGAGAGCCCCGUCUGGUCGGACACCGAGCCCGUGUGAAGCUCCUUCGAAGAGUCGAGUAGUUUGGGAAUGCUGCUCAAAAUGGGAGGUAUAUGUCUUCUAAAGCUAAAUAUUGGCCAGAGACCGAUAGCGCACAAGUAGAGUGAUCGAAAGAUGAAAAGCACUUUGAAAAGAGGGUUAAAAAGUACGUGAAAUUGUUGAAAGGGAAGCGCCCAUGACCAGACUUGGGCCCGGUGAAUCACCCGGCGUUCUCGCCGGUGCACUUUGCCGGGCACAGGCCAGCAUCAGUUUGGCGCGGGGGACAAAGGCUUCGGGAACGUGGCUCCCUCGGGAGUGUUAUAGCCCGCUGCGUAAUACCCUGCGCCGGACUGAGGUACGCGCAUCGCAAGGAUGCUGGCGUAAUGGUCAUCAGCGACCCGUCUUGAAACACGGACCAAGGAGUCGUCUUCGUAUGCGAGUGUUCGGGUGUCAAACCCCUACGCGGAAUGAAAGUGAACGCAGGUGAGAGCUUCGGCGCAUCAUCGACCGAUCCUGAUGUUCUCGGAUGGAUUUGAGUAAGAGCAUACGGGGCCGGACCCGAAAGAAGGUGAACUAUGCCUGUAUAGGGUGAAGCCAGAGGAAACUCUGGUGGAAGCUCGCAGCGGUUCUGACGUGCGAAUCGAUCGUCAAAUAUGGGCAUGGGGGCGAAAGACUAAUCGA